GACGAACGCUGGCGGCGUGCUUAACACAUGCAAGUCGAACGGUGAACUCCGCUUGCGGGGGGAUCAGUGGCGAACGGGUGAGUAACACGUGGGCAACCUGCCCUCAGCUCUGGGAUAACUCCAAGAAAUUGGGGCUAAUACCGGAUAUGACCGCUGACCGCAUGGUCUGGUGGUGGAAAGAUUUAUCGGCUGGGGAUGGGCCCGCGGCCUAUCAGCUUGUUGGUGGGGUAGUGGCCUACCAAGGCGACGACGGGUAGCCGGCCUGAGAGGGUGACCGGCCACACUGGGACUGAGACACGGCCCAGACUCCUACGGGAGGCAGCAGUGGGGAAUAUUGCGCAAUGGGCGAAAGCCUGACGCAGCGACGCCGCGUGGGGGAUGACGGCCUUCGGGUUGUAAACCUCUUUCAGCAGGGACUAAGCGAAAGUGACGGUACCUGCAGAAGAAGCACCGGCCAACUACGUG
This 465-nucleotide ribosomal RNA is filed under the name uncultured bacterium. RNAcentral describes it as "partial 16S ribosomal RNA". It matches the Rfam family "Bacterial small subunit ribosomal RNA", at positions 28 to 507 of the family's 1533-position model. The record is from RNAcentral.